GACGAACGCUGGCGGCGUGCUUAACACAUGCAAGUCGAACGGUGAAGCGCCUUCCUUUUUGGUGGGUGUGGAUGAGUGGCGAACGGGUGAGUAACACGUGAGUAACCUGCCCCCUUCUCCUGGAUAACCGCAUGAAAGUGUGGCUAAUACGGGAUAUUCUGGGUCUGUCGCAUGAUGGGUCUGGGAAAGAUAUUGUUUCGGUGGGGGAUGGGCUCGCGGCCUAUCAGCUUGUUGGUGGGGUGAUGGCCUACCAAGGCGGUGACGGGUAGCCGGCCUGAGAGGGUGGACGGUCACACUGGGACUGAGACACGGCCCAGACUCCUACGGGAGGCAGCAGGGGGGAAUAUUGCACAAUGGGCGCAAGCCUGAUGCAGCGACGCCGCGUGAGGGAUGGAGGCCUUCGGGUUGUGAACCUCUUUCGCCAGUGAAGCAGGCCUGCCUCGUUUGUGGGUGGGUUGACGGUAGCUGGAUAAGAAGCGCCGGCUAACUACGUG
Molecule: ribosomal RNA, 494 nt
Filed under: uncultured bacterium
Lineage: Bacteria
Description: partial 16S ribosomal RNA
Rfam family: Bacterial small subunit ribosomal RNA
Source: RNAcentral